GCAUGUGCGGGAUCGACGUUCAUCGCAUGAACGUUGUUUCAUAAACCGUUCGUAGAUAGAUAAGGAUUAAAAACUUUUAAACUAAUUAGAAGAUCAGAUCUUCACCUUGCGCGGGUAGAUGAUCACCGCAAACUGAUGAUCGUGGUUUUUGGAUGAAGGUUCGCUUGAAGCCGUUCAAGUGCCCGGCCUCUAUGGGUAUCCACACGAAGCAGAGAUCCGAUCAAAGCUCUCUUGUCUUCCCGGGGUGCUAGCUCCCUUGCAAAGACUUCUUUUGAUGGCUGAUCUCCUCUCUUUCUUUCAACUCUUGAAUGUGCUUGAAAGGAGGAAGAAGAAGGAGGGAUAGAGGAAGAGGAACGAAGCCCCUGCAGCCUUUCUUUUCUUCCCUACGUUGGAACCAAGGAAGGAGGCCAAGGAGAGGUGCACGCCUCUUCUUCUUUUUCCUUUGCUGAUGGCGGCUGAACCAAGGAAGGGAGAGGGGUG
Molecule: long non-coding RNA, 480 nt
Filed under: Phoenix dactylifera (date palm)
Lineage: Eukaryota; Viridiplantae; Streptophyta; Magnoliopsida; Arecales; Arecaceae
Description: long non-coding RNA (PDAC_LNC014883)
Source: RNAcentral